UUAUAUAAAAAUCGUAUAUGAUGGAUGUCUAGGUAACUAUAGACGAUGAAAGACGCUAAAAUGCGAUAAUCUUAUUAAGGUAUCUUAAUGGGGUAACCUACUAAUUUAAAAUUAGUAUUUAUUUUAAAAAAAAAAAAAAUAAAAAUAAAAGUAAACUGGGUGAACUGAAACAUCUAAGUAACCCAAGGAAAAAAAAUCAAUUUGAGAUUUUCAAAGUAGUGGCGAACGAAAUGGAAAAAGCCCAAAAAAUUAAAUAUAAAAAUUAAAUAAAAAAUUUUGAAUAAUUUACGAUAUAAAGUAAUAGUCUUGUUUUUUAAUUUUUAUAUUUAAUAGUAUGAGUAUGUUAGGACACGUGAAAUCCUUACAAAAAAAAGGGGGACCAUCCUCUAAGGCUAAAUACUAAUAGUUAACCGAUAGUGAACUAGUACCGUGAGGGAAAGAUGAAAUAGAACCUUUAAAUAGGAGUGAAACAGAACCUAAAAUUAUAUACGUAAAAGCAAUAGAAGUUGAAAAAUAACUAUAUACCUUUUGUAUAAUGGGUCAGCGACUUAUUUAUUUUAGCAAGCUUAACAUUAGGUAGGCGCAGAGAAAUCUAGUCUGAAAGGGCGAAAGUUAAAAUAAAUAGACCCGAAACCGAGCGAUCUAUCCAUGAACAGGUUGAAUGUAAAAUAAAAUUUACUGGAGGACCGAACCGGUAUCUGUUGCAAAAGAUUCGGAUGAUUCGUGGAUAGGGGUGAAAGGCUAAUCAAGCUCGGAGAUAGCUGGUUCUCUUCGAAAGCUAUUUAGGUAGCGCCUUAUAAAUAGUAAUUAUUGGUAAAGCACUGUAUUGAUUAAGUUGAUACUGAAUCAUAACAAACUAAGAAUAUUAAUUAUUUUAUUAUAGGAGACACACAAAGGGUGAUAACAUCCUUUGUGAAAAGGGAAACAACCCAGAUCUUAAAUUAAGGUCCCUAAAUUCUAUUUGAGUGGAAAAUGAUAUUAAUUUUCUUUGAAAAUCAAAAGGUGGGCUUAGAAGCAGCCAUCCUUUAAAGAAAGCGUAAUAGCUCAUUGAUUUAGAUAAUUAAUACGAAAAAUUUAACGGGGCUAAAAUAGAUACCGAAAUUAUGAACAUUAUUUUUUGUGGUAGAAGAGCGUUGUGUAAAUCAAAGAAGAAUUAUUUCAAAAUAAUUUAGAGAUAUCACAAGUGCGAAUGCUGACAUAAGUAACAAUAAAGAAUGUGAGAAUCAUUCUCGCCGAAAAUCUAAGGUUUUCUAUUCUACGAUGAUCGUAAUAGAGUUAGUCGUGACCUAAAGCAAGGUUGAAAAACGUAGCUGAUGGGAAAAAGAUUAAAAUUUCUUUACCAUUAAUUUAUACGAUGAAAUAUGUAAAAAGUUUUAUAAACCUAAAAUAGGUAAUUUAGGUUUAAUAUUAAAAAAUUUAUAACCAAGCAAAUCUAGUUAUAUAAUUUAAUAAUAUAAAUAAAAUUAAUAAAAUUAUGUUACCAAGAAAUGUUUCUAGUAUUAAUAUAUUAAUGCACGUACCGUAAUCCGACACAGGUAGAUAAGUAAAGUAUACUAAGGCGUUUGAGAUAAUCUAGGUGAAGGAACUAGGCAAAAUAGUAUCGUAACUUCUGGAGAAGAUACACUAGAAUAUUUAAAACUUUAGUUUUAAAGAACUAGUCUAAGAGGUAAGGUGGCUGCAACUGUUUAUUAAAAACACAGCACUCUGCUAACGUGUAAACGGAUGUAUAGGGUGUGACGCCUGCCCGGUGUUGGUAGGUUAAUUGAAAAUGUUAGUUUAAUAAAAAAAAAACAAAGCAUUUAAUAAAAGCCCCAAUAAACGGCGGCCGUAACUAUAACGGUCCUAAGGUAGCGAAAUUCCUUGUCGGGUAAGUUCCGACCUGCACGAAUGGCGUAAUGAUGGCCACGCUGUCUCCAUCUAGAACUCAGUGAAAUUGAAAUUGCUGUGAAGAUGCAGUGUAUCUACGGCUAGACGGAAAGACCCCGUGAACCUUUACUAUAACUUCACAUUGAACAUUAAAAAUUUUUGUGUAGGAUAACUGGGAGAUGUUGAUACAUAAUUACAAGAUUAUGGGUAGUCGACCUUGAAAUACCAGUCUUUAAUAUUUAAUAAUCUAAUAUAAAUUAUAAUCUAAUUUAUAAAAAUUGUGUGGUGGGUAGUUUGACUGGGGCGGUCUCCUCCUAAAAAGUAACGGAGGAGUACAAAGGUACUCUCAAUACGUUUGGUAACCGUAUGUUGAGUGUAAGAGCAUAAGAGUGCUUAACUGUAAGGUAGACAUACCGAACAGAUACGAAAGUAGGUUCUAGUGAUCCGAUAAUUCUAAAUGGAAUGGUUAUCGCUCAACGAAUAAAAGGUACUCCGGGGAUAACAGGCUAAUAUUGCCCAAGAGUCCAUAUCGACGGCAAUGUUUGGCACCUCGAUGUCGGCUCAUCACGUCCUGGGGCUGGAGUUGGUCCCAAGGGUAUGGCUGUUCGCCAUUUAAAGUGGUACGCGAGCUGGGUUUAGAACGUCGUGAGACAGUUCGGUCCCUAUCUACCGUGGAUGUAGAGAUUUUGAAAGAAUCUAUCUUUAGUACGAGAGGACCAAGAUGGUUAAACCACUGGUGUUCCGGUUGUUAUGCCAAUAGCAUAGUCGGUUAACUAAGUUUAAAAUGAUAAUUACUGAAAUAAUAUAAGUAAGAAGCAUAUCUUAAAAAUAAAUCUCCAAAAGGUAUGUUGCCUUUCUUAAGAUAACUUGAAUAUAACAAGUUUAAUAGACACAAUGUGUAAAAAUAGCAAUAUUUUAGCUAAUGUGUACUAAUUUUAUCGUGAGAAUUUUAUC
RNAcentral lists this ribosomal RNA (2820 nucleotides) under Candidatus Carsonella ruddii PC isolate NHV. RNAcentral describes it as "bacterial LSU rRNA". It matches the Rfam family "Bacterial large subunit ribosomal RNA". The record is from RNAcentral. Lineage: Bacteria; Pseudomonadati; Pseudomonadota; Gammaproteobacteria; Oceanospirillales; Halomonadaceae.